UGAGGAAUAUUGGGCAAUGCCCGCAAGGGUGACCCAGCAACGCCGCGUGGAGGAUGAAUGUCGUAAGAUUGUAAACUCCUGUUAGAGGGGAAGAAUAGUACCGGUUGGACCGGUAUAUGACUGUACCCUCAGAGAAAGCCCCGGCUAACUACGUGCCAGCAGCCGCGGUAAUACGUAGGGGGCAAGCGUUGUCCGGAUUUACUGGGUGUAAAGCGUGCGUAGGUGGUUGUUUAAGUCUGAUGUGAAAGCCCUGGGCUCAACCUGGGAAUGGCAUUGGAAACUGGGCAGCUAGAGUGCGGUAGAGGGUAGUGGAAUUCCCGGUGUAGCAGUGAAAUGCGUAGAGAUCGGGAGGAACAUCUGUGGCGAAGGCGACUGCCUGGACCAGCACUGACACUGAGGCACGAAAGCGUGGGGAGCAAACA
RNAcentral lists this ribosomal RNA (422 nucleotides) under uncultured bacterium. RNAcentral describes it as "bacterial SSU rRNA". It matches the Rfam family "Bacterial small subunit ribosomal RNA", at positions 355 to 774 of the family's 1533-position model. The record is from RNAcentral.